GUUCACUGAGUCCACUGGAUUAGCAAAGCAGGACAACGCCUUCUGUACCACCAUCUAUGCCAUCUAGUUAGGAGGCAGAAUCUCAGGACUAAUUGCUUCAUUUCUUCAUUUGGCCUUGAAAAAACAUUUCGUUAUUUGUUGUUGCCUGCUAUGUGGAAGGGACCAAGAAUAUCCUCUAAAACAGAAUCUGUUUUGUUUGGUGCUAUGGACACCCUAGGGAGGAAAAAAUUUUUUUGAAAGAGGAGCUGUCAUUUCCAACUUAUCUUUAUUACUCACCUCAAUGCUCGAGGAUCUCUCCACUCAUUCAUGAAGCGUAAUAAGGAGGACACGAAAGCUGGAGCUGGGGGAUGUCUGGCUAUUUUAUAUAAGAUGGCUGAGGAAGGCAGCACAGGUAUUCAAGCCAAGACCUGAGGGACACGAGCAAGCAAGCCACACAGACGUGUGCAAGAAAGGGGAUUGCAGCAAACGUGAAGAGGAAGCUGCAGCGUGGUUUGUAAAUCGUGAAAGAUCAAGGAAGCUGUGAGGACACAAUGAGAAGAUGGCCAUCUGCAAGCCAGGAAGAGAGCCCUCCCUGAGGAACUGAAUGGGCCAGCACCUUGGGCUUGGACUUCCAGUCUCCUGAACUAUAAUGGUUAUGGUGGUUCUAAAACAUGACUUCAAAUUCUUUGGGACUCCUCCCAUCAAAAGUGGGGUGCUUGUGAAGAUAUUUCCAAGGACGUAGUUCCCUGGAAGGAAGAAGUUCUGCGCUCCAGUGGGACCUCAUCAGAUACCCCUCCAUCUCUCCAUCUCCGGCUCUCCAGGAUAUUCUUCACAGCCUCCUCCUGCUGUUGUCCCUCUGUCUCUCUACAUCUUGGGAUAAUGGAAAGAUGGCUUCAGAUCAGGCCUCCAUUGUGCAACUGGCCCAUCCAGAAACUCAAGAAACUUCCCUGUGCCCAAAGUGGAGGUGGGCCUGCUCUACACCCUGUGUCAUCUCUCACCAGUUACUUUAGCCUGCUCAAAAUGUCCAAUGAGCAGAACAGCAAAAGCACAGAGCAGUCAGGCACAGAAAGGGAGUCCCUCUUUCUCCCAGGUAACCAGUCUUGCGAGCCCUUCUCACCUGGCUAGGAGGAAGGAAGAACAUCCCCUUCCCAUGUCCUACAGGAAGGAGUACCUUUCCACCUGGAAAUUCAAUCCCAAAGUCUCCAAUUCCACUAACUCCUUUUAUAUCAGCUGACAGUAGGCAAAUGAUCAUGAGAUGAUUGGAGGAGCAAAACUGGUGCUCUUCCCUCUGAGAUGUCUCUGGUAGCUCUUUAGUUUCUGUGUAGUAUUUACUUCUUACUGUCUAUCAUUCAAAAACAAUGGAAAAAGUUCUGUGUAACAUUCUGCUAAUUGCAUAUGCCUCAGUUACUCUCUGUACUGGUCUAGUUAUCUGCCUCUUUUUCCAGACUGUGACCUCUUGAAGGCAGGCAUUGUGUCUUACCAUCUAACAUCUAGCAUAUCAAUAAGUAUUUCCGUGAACAGACACAAUUUAAGACAGGGAUUUCAUUUACCUUGAAAUCUUUACUGCCAGCUUUCAUUUUAUCAGAGUUUUUGUGAUACAGGUUCUAAGAAGAACUAAUUACAUAGGUAUUUCUGAACUUGUUGAAAAGCUGAAUCGGGAGAAGUGUGUCCUUACAAAAAUCAAAGGCUGGCUGGGUGGCAAUGAUAGAAUCAGAGAGGGUAGCCUCAUCUGGCCUCUUCCAAAAUAGGGUGCCAGGUGGCUGGAAGAAAAGAGGGUCUGCCUCCCUGAGCCUGUAGGAAAGAGAUCAUUUCCUAAUGGGUAGGUCUCCUUUGGUCACUGUGAAACGGGCUCAGUCAACCUCAGAGUGAGCAGAGAUGAAUCUACUUGCCUGUGGGACUUGGGUGUAAGUGGUCCUGCAGCGAGUACAUAUGUCAUCCACAUGGCUUGGAACAGCCAGAAGUAGAUUAGGAAAGUACAAAGCAGCUGGGGUCCUUGUACAGGCAGGCUCAAAAAGGGCUCAGGCGCUCAGCCCUCAUGAAAGUGCCAACUGGUACGUAUUUCUAGAGAAGAAUUUGACAACUGUUACCAAGAACGUAAAAACAUACACUUUAGAUCCAGCAAUACCACUUCUAGGAAUCGUUUCCAAAAAAGAUCAUCAGGAGUGGAACCCACAUGUGCUCAAAGGAUGCUUAUCUAAGUGUAUUAAUUAAAUUACUAUAUUAAUUAGUACAAGGGGAUAUUAUGUAGUUGGAAGUCACACUGUAGCUAAUAAAACAUGGGAAUGUUCAUGAUACAUUAAGUGAAAAAAGCCAGCACAAAAUGGCACUGUGGUGUGAUCUGCUUGUAGGGAUAGGCAGAAGAAGAUAGCAAAAAUAUUACCAGUGGUUGUCUCUACAGACCAGAGAGAUUAUGGGUGGUUUUA
This is a long non-coding RNA of Equus asinus (donkey), 2402 nucleotides long. The record is from Ensembl. NCBI's taxonomy places the organism in Eukaryota, Metazoa, Chordata, Mammalia, Perissodactyla, Equidae.